AUAGGUAUAACAGUGUAGUAGUGGAUCUGAAGGGUCUGGAUAGGUAUAAACAGUGUAGUGGUAGAUCUGAAGGGUCUGGAUAGGUAUAAACAGUGUAGUGGUAGAUCUGAAGGGUCUGGAUAGGUAUAAACAGUGUAGUGGUAGAUCUGAAGGGUCUGGAUAGGUAUAAACAGUGUAGUGGUAGAUCUGAAGGGUCUGGAUAGGUAUAAACAGUGUAGUGGUGUAUCUGAAGGGUCUGGAUAGGUAUAAACAGUGUAGUGGUAGAUCUGAAGGGUCUGGAUAGGUAUAAACAGUGUAGUGGUAGAUCUGAAGGGUCUGGAUAGGUAUAAACAGUGUAGUGGUGUAUCUGAAGGGUCUGGAUAGGUAUAAACAGUGUAGUGGUAGAUCUGAAGGGUCUGGAUAGGUAUAAACAGUGUAGUGGUAGAUCUGAAGGGUCUGGAUAGGUAUAAACAGUGUAGUGGUAGAUCUGAAGGGUCUGGAUAGGUAUAAACAGUGUAGUGGUGUAUCUGAAGGGUCUGGAUAGGUAUAAACAGUGUAGUGGUAGAUCUGAAGGGUCUGGAUAGGUAUAAACAGUGUAGUGGUGGAUCUGAAGGGUCUGGAUAGGUAUAAACAGUGUAGUGGUGUAUCUGAAGGGUCUGGAUAGGUAUAAACAGUGUAGUGGUAGAUCUGAAGGGUCUGGAUAGGUAUAAACAGUGUAGUGGUGUAUCUGAAGGGUCUGGAUAGGUAUAAACAGUGUAGUGGUAGAUCUGAAGGGUCUGGAUAGGUAUAAACAGUGUAGUGGUGUAUCUGAAGGGUCUGGAUAGGUAUAAACAGUGUAGUGGUAGAUCUGAAGGGUCUGGAUAGGUAUAAACAGUGUAGUGGUGUAUCUGAAGGGUCUGGAUAGGUAUAAACAGUGUAGUGGUAGAUCUGAAGGGUCUGGAUAGGUAUAAACAGUGUAGUGGUGUAUCUGAAGGGUCUGGAUAGGUAUAAACAGUGUAGUGGUAGAUCUGAAGGGUCUGGAUAGGUAUAAACAGUGUAGUGGUAGAUCUGAAGGGUCUGGAUAGGUAUAAACAGUGUAGUGGUAGAUCUGAAGGGUCUGGAUAGGUAUAAACAGUGUAGUGGUAGAUCUGAAGGGUCUGGAUAGGUAUAAACAGUGUAGUGGUGGAUCUGAAGGGUCUGGAUAGGUAUAAACAGUGUAGUGGUAGAUCUGAAGGGUCUGGAUAGGUAUAAACAGUGUAGUGGUAGAUCUGAAGGGUCUGGAUAGGUAUAAACAGUGUAGUGGUGUAUCUGAAGGGUCUGGAUAGGUAUAAACAGUGUAGUGGUAGAUCUGAAGGGUCUGGAUAGGUAUAAACAGUGUAGUGGUAGAUCUGAAGGGUCUGGAUAGGUAUAAACAGUGUAGUGGUAGAUCUGAAGGGUCUGGAUAGGUAUAAACAGUGUAGUGGUAGAUCUGAAGGGUCUGGAUAGGUAUAAACAGUGUAGUGGUAGAUCUGAAGGGUCUGGAUAGGUAUAAACAGUGUAGUGGUAGAUCUGAAGGGUCUGGAUAGGUAUAAACAGUGUAGUGGUAGAUCUGAAGGGUCUGGAUAGGUAUAAACA
Molecule: long non-coding RNA, 1572 nt
Organism: Oncorhynchus keta (chum salmon)
Lineage: Eukaryota; Metazoa; Chordata; Actinopteri; Salmoniformes; Salmonidae
Exons: 4
Source: RefSeq, a predicted model, not a curated record